CCAGUGUUCAGACUACCUGUUC
Molecule: non-coding RNA, 22 nt
Filed under: Mus musculus (house mouse)
Lineage: Eukaryota; Metazoa; Chordata; Mammalia; Rodentia; Muridae
Also listed under: 1 other name
Source: RNAcentral